RNAcentral lists this ribosomal RNA (440 nucleotides) under uncultured bacterium. RNAcentral's name for it is "partial 16S ribosomal RNA". It matches the Rfam family "Bacterial small subunit ribosomal RNA", at positions 338 to 795 of the family's 1533-position model. The record is from RNAcentral.
CCUACGGGAGGCAGCAGUAGGGAAUAUUGCUCAAUGGGGGAAACUCUGAAGCAGCAACGCCGCGUGACGGAUGACGGUUUUAGGAUUGUAAACUCCUUUUGUGAGAGAAGAUAAUGACGGUAUCUCACGAAUAAGCUCCGGCUAACUCCGUGCCAGCAGCCGCGGUAAUACGGAGGGUGCAAGCGUUACUCGGAUUCACUGGGCGUAAAGCGUGCGCAGGCGGGCUUGUAAGUCAGAUGUGAAAUCCUGUAGCUGAACUACAGAACUGCAGUUGAAACUAUGAGUCUAGAGUGUGGGAGAGGUAGGUGGAAUUCCAGGUGUAGGAGUGAAAUCCGUAGAUAUCUGGAGGAACAUCAGUUGCGAAGGCGACUAUCUGGCACAUAACUGACGCUGAGGAGCGAAAGCGUGGGUAGCAAACAGGAUUAGAUACCCGAGUAGUC